AGUGAACGCUGGCGGUAUGCCUAACACAUGCAAGUCGAACGGCAGCACAGUAAGAGCUUGCUCUUACGGGUGGCGAGUGGCGGACGGGUGAGGAAUACAUCGGAAUCUACUUUUUCGUGGGGGAUAACGUAGGGAAACUUACGCUAAUACCGCAUACGACCUACGGGUGAAAGCAGGGGAUCUUCGGACCUUGCGCGAUUGAAUGAGCCGAUGUCGCAUUAGCUAGUUGGCGUGGUAAAGGCCCACCAAGGCGACGAUCCGUAGCUGGUCUGAGAGGAUGAUCAGCCACACUGGAACUGAGACACGGUCCAGACUCCUACGGGAGGCAGCAGUGGGGAAUAUUGGACAAUGGGCGAAAGCCUGACGCAGCAACACCGCGUGAGUGAAGAAGGCCUUCGGGUUGUAAAGCCCUUUUGUUGGGAAAGAAAAGAAGCAGGUUAAUACCCCGCUGUUCUGACGGUACCCAAAGAAUAAGCACCGGCUAACUUCGUG
This 492-nucleotide ribosomal RNA is filed under the name uncultured bacterium. RNAcentral's name for it is "partial 16S ribosomal RNA". It matches the Rfam family "Bacterial small subunit ribosomal RNA", at positions 29 to 507 of the family's 1533-position model. The record is from RNAcentral.